Molecule: long non-coding RNA, 2657 nt
Organism: Cercocebus atys (sooty mangabey)
Lineage: Eukaryota; Metazoa; Chordata; Mammalia; Primates; Cercopithecidae
Exons: 2
Source: RefSeq, a predicted model, not a curated record
AACAUGGAUAAACCUGGAGCACAUUAUGUUAAGUGAAAUAAGCCAGACAACAAAAAGAUAAAUACUGCAUGAUGUCACUCUGGUGAAAUCUCAAAAGUGGUUCUCAUAGAAGUAGAGAGUAGAAUAGUGGCUGCCAGAGACUGGGGGGUGGGGAAGAUAGGGAGAGGUUGUUCAAAGGAUACGUAAUUACAGUUAGAUGGAAGGAAUUAAUUCAAAAGAUCUAUUGUACAGCAAGGUGACUGUAGUUAAUGAUGAUUUAUUAUGUUCUUGAAAAAUGCAAAGAGAGUGAAUGUUAACUGCUCUCCCCACAAAAAAUAACUGCAUGAGGUAAUGCAAUCGUUAGGGAGAUUUAACCAUUCCAUAAUGUGUAUAUAUACUUCAAAACAUCAUGUUGUACAUGAUAAAUACACACAGUGUUGUCAAAUCUUAAAAAAAUAAUUAAAAAGAAUGCAUCAUAGAGUCAAAACCAAGGUGAUUGCUUAAAACUCUCUCAACUACCCAUAGGCAGGACCACAAAGAUUUUGUUCUCUGGAGAAAGUAACCUGCAAACUUUUCGGUUGCAGGGACUGAACAGAGAGGGUGAGGGUAAUCAUGGGGCUGAACACAGGUAGAUUUCAGGGAGGUCUGCCAACUGAACUGAGGGGAUGCCCCAGCCUGGACAUCCAGGACUUAGAGUCACCAUAGUUAAUGUUUGCCUAAGAAAGCACUCAGACCAAACUGGAUUCAAAUCCACGCUGCCAGUUGCUAGCUAAAUGAUCAUGAAUGAAGUCAUUAACCUCUUCAAGCCUCAGGUCUCUUACCUGUAAAGUAGAGAUAAUAAUAUGUAUCCGAGUUGUUGUGAUAAUUAAAUUAGAUAAUAUAAAAAUGGUAUUUAGUACAUGUUUGGCACAUUAUACAUAAUAAAUGGUAGCAAGCAUUAUCAGUAAAGAGCAGGGUCUAGAAUCCUUUCUGAAGGACUUGAAACUACCAUUAAGUAUAUGUAAACUGACUCCUUUCUUUACAUUAUUUUCUAACAGAUUACUAUAGAAGUAUAACCUGAAGUCUUCAGUAAGUCACAGGUUACAAUCACGUUUGGUCAGGAGAACAUUCCAGAACGGGCUCUGAAGUUAGACAAAAUUGACUAUUUCUGGCUCUUGCAAUUACUAAUGUGAUCUUGACAAGUCACGUGUUUCUCACCUGUGAAGUUGGAAUAGCAACAACUAUGUGCAAGAUUGUUGCGAGGACUGGCCAUAAAGCAGGCAUGCCCCAGCAGAGUGCCUAGGACAUAGUGGGUGUCAACAAACAGAAGCCAUUUUCACCAUGAUUAUUAUUAGGCCAAAAAAAAUUAUAAAUGCCAAUUGAAAAUCUGAUCAACUUUGGAAUAAAUAUGCUUUGGGCUAUUUUUGCCAUUCAUCAAAUAUCACUGGGGUGGGAGGGUUGUCUGACUGUUAUCCAAGUACUGGGAUUCCACUGACUUCUAAAUCAAUUUGGAAAUUAACACAGUGUACUUCUAAGUGGUAAACUAUACGUCUUUUUUUGUCUAGGACAUUUGCAGACAUUUCAGCCAAACUGGCAGGGAAAAUGAUACUCAAUAUUUUAGGUAGCUUUUUACACUGGGAUUUUAACUUAUGCAGUUUUUCUUUCUCUGUAAAGUGGAGUCUCUGGCCAGAAUUAAUUAGAACAGCACUUUUGUGGCUUGUACAUGGACACUCAUCUUCAUUUCUUGGACUCUGAGCCUCAAUUUCUCAUUCAAGUGGAGAAAGCAUAUAACAAGAAUAUGUAAUGGACAUCCUACCUACAAUUUUCAGUAUAACAGUUACAGCAAGUAAAGUGAAUCAGGAUAAGGUAAGCUUCUUAUCUAGAAACUGUGAGGGCCCCAACUAAUCACCAACCACUUUUGCUAAACCAACAAGUGACUUAAUUUCUGUUUCCAAAGCCAUAACUCUAUGCUUUUAUCAAACACUUUCUCUGACCUGCAGGAAUGUGUUUAUUUGGAGUUUAUAAAGGAAAUCUAGAAGGGAAACACUAUUCAUAUAAGCAUGACAAACCUCAGCUGAUUUUAAACACCCAAGUGCAGGAAUAAAACGGAGUAUCUUAUAUGUCUAUAAACCAAGUCAGAAUGCUUCCUCCAGAGAAAAGACACAUACAUUCCCAACCUAAUACUGCUUGUUUUUAGAAAUACAAACUAAGGUCAUAUUAAGCCAGGUUAAGAGGAGGAGAAGGUAGCUGCCCUUCACAAGUUUAUCCAUUCAGAGAGGAAGAAGUCAAGGGGAAAAUUGCUCUCCUCUGACUAAUGCAGUAUAAUUGUUUCCUCAUGAUGGUCCCCCUCCAUUUUUCUCCCUUCAAACGUUCCCAUGGCUACAAAAGGACAUGACAUACACACACACACACACACACACACACACACACACACACACACAUACAUACAUACAUAUAUAUGUAUUUUAAAAAGAAUCACAAAUCGCAGGGACAUAAAAUGGCUUCCUGUGGUUAAUCUGAAUUUGUCAUUUUGCUUUUGAGAUUUUCCUAUUGGCCCACUUAACCCAGCACCUCAUGUAUAAUGAAUAAUGUAAAGGGGGUAUGGGGAUGCCUAUUUUAAGAGACCAAAAAUGCCAGGUAACAACUUUAAGGCCAUUACAAUUUUAUUCUAUACACACACACACACACUCUCACUAAUA